Molecule: ribosomal RNA, 400 nt
Filed under: uncultured bacterium
Lineage: Bacteria
Description: bacterial SSU rRNA
Rfam family: Bacterial small subunit ribosomal RNA
Source: RNAcentral
GGGGAAUAUUGCACAAUGGGCGAAAGCCUGAUGCAGCAACGCCGCGUGAGUGAUGACGGUCUUCGGAUUGUAAAGCUCUGUCUUUUGGGACGAUAAUGACGGUACCAAAGGAGGAAGCCACGGCUAACUACGUGCCAGCAGCCGCGGUAAUACGUAGGUGGCAAGCGUUGUCCGGAUUUACUGGGCGUAAAGGGUGUGUAGGCGGAUGUUUAAGUGAGAUGUGAAAUACCCGGGCUUAACUUGGGUGCUGCAUUUCAAACUGGAUAUCUAGAGUGCAGGAGAGGAAAGCGGAAUUCCUAGUGUAGCGGUGAAAUGCGUAGAGAUUAGGAAGAACAUCAGUGGCGAAGGCGGCUUUCUGGACUGUAACUGACGCUGAGGCAUGAAAGCGUGGGGAGCAAAC